Molecule: small nuclear RNA, 102 nt
Organism: Trichosurus vulpecula (common brushtail)
Lineage: Eukaryota; Metazoa; Chordata; Mammalia; Diprotodontia; Phalangeridae
Source: RefSeq, a predicted model, not a curated record
GUACUCCAUUCAACAGCAUAUACAUUAAAACUGAAACAAUAUAGAUUAGCAUGGCCCAUGUGUAAGACCAACACACAAAUUCAUGAAAUCUUCCGUAUUUCU